This is an RNA transcript of Cornus florida, 1414 nucleotides long. RefSeq lists it as uncharacterized. NCBI's taxonomy places the organism in Eukaryota, Viridiplantae, Streptophyta, Magnoliopsida, Cornales, Cornaceae. The record is from RefSeq and is a predicted model, not a curated record. The transcript has 3 exons.
ACUCGCAAUAAAACACUUUUGAGGGACAAAAAGAGAGAGAGAGAGAUGGGGAGCUUCUCACCUGAAACAAGAUCUAAUCUUCGUGGAAGCUCCAUGGAUCCAUACCCAGAUCCUGAAACCCAAGAAUCUAGCGGGCAAACAAUGGACAACCCAUCAACUGGGUUGCUCCAGAAUGAAGACCCAUGGCUCAGAAACAAGACCAAGAAGAAGAAAAACCAAGUGUUCCUUGAAGGGUAUGUGGAGACACCUGAGGAAGACGAUCUAUUGAGGACCAAGAGCUUGACAGACGAAGAUUUGGACGAGCUCAAGGGGUGUUUGGACCUGGGUUUUGGAUUCAGCUAUGAGGAGAUUCCUGAGCUCUGCAACACUUUGCCUGCUCUUGAGCUCUGCUACUCCAUGAGCCAGAAGUUUCUUGAUGAGCAGCAGAAGUCACCCGAGGCCUCGCCGUCGGCUUCUGUCACCUCCGAAACUCCCAUUGCCAAUUGGAAGAUCUCUAGUCCUGGAGAUCAUCCCGAAGAUGUGAAAGCAAGACUCAAAUUCUGGGCACAGGCUGUGGCAUGUACUGUUAGAUUGUGCAAUUAAAAGCAAUCUAAAACUCCAAAUUCAUCAUCUGAAGAAAAUGAAUGGACAUAUUCUUCACCAUGGGGGAUUUCGUGCUCCGUCUGAUCCUUUGUACGAUCGGUGUUCAAAGGAUGAGAGAUCCUUCGAUUCUUGACCUGGAGAUGGACAUGAUUCGAUCUGUCAAUGAUGGGUCCGCCUUGAAUAAUAAUAAGAAGAGGAAAAAGAAGAAGAGAAUGUUGCAGUGAUAAGAGAUUCUCCAUUGGAGCUUCAUCAGCUACUUGGAGUCCUCUGCAUUUGUUGAAGCAACAACUUUAAUUGGAUGAUCAACAACCAAGGUGUAAUGUUGUGGUUAGAAUUUUUGUUUCUGGUUGGGUCACAAUGACCCGAUUAAUGGAAAAAAAAAAAGGGGUUUGUCCCGUUUUGCUUUGCCGGUGGACCCAUAAUCUAAUCACUGUUGUAAUCCAGUAUAUAAGGAUGUUAGGGCUUGUGGUGUGGGUGAGAGAAAACACUCAAAACUGAACAGUGAGAGAGAGAGAGAGGGGUUUGGGAGAUUGAGAACUUGUAAUCUUAGAGAUAGGGGUUGGGGAUUGAGAACUUGUAAUUUUCGUUUUUCUUUGCAAAGUGAAAACCCUUUGCCGAACCUCACCCUAUACAUAGGCCAUAUGCCGAACUACCUAAAUCCAUGCAUAGUGUGCGAUGCAUGGUUGAUGGGUUUUUUUUUAAGUAAUCUCUUGAUUGUGCUCUUAGUUUUGCAGUGUUUGUGGUGAAGUAGGGUGUUUCUAAACUUUUUUUCCAUGGUCCCAUCAUGAAUCAAGUUGCAGCAUCUUGAUCCGAGUCACAUAAUUUUUCUAAA